GACGAACGCUGGCGGCGUGCCUAAUACAUGCAAGUCGCGCGGAAUGAAGAAGAAGCUUGCUUCUUCUGAUUUUAGCGGCGGACGGGUGAGUAACACGUGGGCAACCUACCUUGUAGAUUGGGAUAACUCCGGGAAACCGGGGCUAAUACCGAAUAAUCCAUUUUGCUUCAUGGCGAGAUGUUAAAAGGCGGCUUCGGCUGUCACUACGAGAUGGGCCCGCGGCGCAUUAGCUAGUUGGUAGGGUAAUGGCCUACCAAGGCGACGAUGCGUAGCCGACCUGAGAGGGUGAUCGGCCACACUGGGACUGAGACACGGCCCAGACUCCUACGGGAGGCAGCAGUAGGGAAUCUUCCACAAUGGACGAAAGUCUGAUGGAGCAACGCCGCGUGAGUGAAGAAGGUUUUCGGAUCGUAAAACUCUGUUGUAAGGGAAGAACACGUACGAGAGUAACUGCUCGUACCUUGACGGUACCUAACCAGAAAGCCACGGCUAACUACGUG
RNAcentral lists this ribosomal RNA (500 nucleotides) under uncultured bacterium. RNAcentral describes it as "bacterial SSU rRNA". It matches the Rfam family "Bacterial small subunit ribosomal RNA", at positions 28 to 507 of the family's 1533-position model. The record is from RNAcentral.